GCCGGGCAUGGUGGUGGCGCAUGCCUGUAAUCCCAGCUACUUGGGAGGCUGAGGCAGGAGAAUCACUUGAACCCGGGAGGCGGAGGUUGCAGUGAGCCGAGAUCGCGCCACUGCCCUCCAGCCUGGGCCACAGAGUGAGACUCUGUCUCAA
Molecule: small RNA, 151 nt
Filed under: Macaca mulatta (Rhesus monkey)
Lineage: Eukaryota; Metazoa; Chordata; Mammalia; Primates; Cercopithecidae
Description: Metazoan signal recognition particle RNA (ENSMMUG00000058831.1)
Source: Rfam by way of RNAcentral